Lathyrus oleraceus (garden pea) is the source of this 1865-nucleotide long non-coding RNA. RefSeq lists it as uncharacterized. NCBI's taxonomy places the organism in Eukaryota, Viridiplantae, Streptophyta, Magnoliopsida, Fabales, Fabaceae. The record is from RefSeq and is a predicted model, not a curated record. The transcript has 2 exons.
UCUAUCCUCACAUCAGAGCCCUCAAAUGCUCUGCAAUCCCUUCUACCCUCUCUGAGCACCCUCAUCAGAGAAAAUGGUGGUUUGCGACCGAAGGCGGUAGCUUCACCUUCUUCUAUGGCGAGCCCAUACCACAAAACCUAAAACAUAAAGAACUAACCCCCACUCAUUUUUUAUAUAUAAUAUGAAUCCAAAAAUGAUCUUCCCUAAAUCCUUCUCACGCGAUCGGAUCAACCCUUAAAAAAAUUCAAAACAAAAACACAAAGAACAAAACCUUUUAAGCCAAAACCUAAUCAAAAUAUUGCCCUAAAUAACAAAUCAGAACCGGAUUUCAAGAAAGAAAAUCAAUCAACCGGAAACCCUAAUUUUUAAAUUAGGGAUCAAUUAGAAAGAAUUCAAAGAAAUCAACAUGGGGGUUCCAUUCCAAAUCACACGACAAAGAUGCGAGUACAAUAAAAUCAAACAAAAGAAGUGAAACUCACCAAAUCGGAGCAAGUCCGAUGAAGUCUCCAGCGACACAAAUAAGUCUUCUUUAUCUCUUCUUUAUGCUUUGUGAUGUUUUUCUUACUCUUCUCUUUUUCUUGAACCUUGUUUGGAUGCUUGGGAUGGGUUUGUGUAGCUCAACCUCACUCAAACUCUGAUAAUGAGUUUGAGAGGUUUAAUAGAAGUGAGAUUUAGUGUAGGUGAUGAGAAAGUAUCUUUCCAGCAUAACGAUAGUAUAUUCUACUCCUCUUGAAUGGAACAGUGUACUUAAAUUUAUAGAAAAAUGAAUAGGGAGUGAUAGAGUGAAAAAUACAUGAGUUUGUUAGAGUCAAUCCUUAGCUCGUGUGAAAAUAUUUAUCAGAAUAGUGAGCUGGUGGUUUUUGUGUAUUAAUCCAUUAAAAAACUUUUCCAAAAUCCAUGAUUUUAUGGAAUUCAUUUGGGAGUGGAAUGGCACGGAUUUGAUUGCUGGAAAAUGCAUUUUCUCUUUCUAUUUGUACCUGUUGACAUGUUUUGCAUGGUCCCUAGCAUUUGCCAUGUAUGACAUUUCCACUGUACGUUAAUUUACUACUAUCGUACUGGUUUUGAAUUAAUUUGAUUUUAGUUAUGUAGUGUUAAUUAAAUGUAGUAGAUCUUGUUUGAUAACGUUGCCCUGCUGUUGUUGUGAAUGGUUGAAUAUAUUUUACUGUUAUGAUGGCCUUGGUUUGAUGUGACUGCAUUGUAUUUGAACUAGUAUAGUGAUAUGAUCAUAGAAUGUAUUAUUGUUUAUACAUUUUUGCAGGUGAGUGCAUUGUUAUUUAUUUGUGGUUUUGAUCAUGGAUAAAUUGUUUGUGUUUUGUCGACUCAAUGAUGAAUUUUAGAUGACAUGGCCAAUGGGUACAAUUGGGACAUCAUGGAGGCAUUAGAUCAAAGGCUAUGAAGAAAGUAGUCUUUCUUUCCAUUUUGAUCCCAACAACAUGUCAUGUAAUUGCUAGUUAUUGAAUUGAUAACUAUUAUUGUGAUGUUGCAGGUUCAGGAUGAGUUAUAUGGCCUACUUUUUGACAUUGAUUUGCAGGCCCAUUGGAGGAAAUGAAGGCCUGCUCUUUGAACCUUGCUGACAAUUGGGCUGAUGAUGCAAUCGUCAAUGUUAUGGACUGGACUAUUAGUUGCUUGAUGUGGUUUGAAAUGAUAGGUGGGUUUGGUGUUUACAAAGGAGAAAUGGUUGUAAGGCUUUAAGGCUUAGGUAUAAUCAAGAUCAUGAUAGGGAUGAAGUUAUGAGUUUAGGAAGAAAUUAGUUAGGAAAUAGGUCUAUGUACUUGGGUAUUUCGUGUAAUGUUGAUGUACAUGUAACCUUGAAUCAUGUAAUGGUUUUAUUCUUCCAAUAAGACUUUAAACUUUCUUCCCUCCAA